UUCUGGUACUCAACCUAGGUUUCUGGUGGAGCUAAUUUAGCGUUAGAGUUUCUUAAAAAAAUACGACUCAACCAAGUCUAGUCGAAAAUUUUAUUGAAUUCAGAUAAUUUAGAAAUUUUUAAACGAUCAUAACUCGCUCAAGUAUCUAAUUUUAUCGCACAACUCCAAUUCGAAAAACACUUUUUCAGAUCUAUACAUUGAAUAGUAAAACAAUUCCGGCCGAUUUUGAGACCCAAAUUCAAUUGUUUCGGUCUUUUCUGUUUUUUUGGGUUUUUGUUUGUGCUUUUAGGUUAUUUUCAAAAAAAAUUAUAUUUUUUCUAUUUUUAAUCUGAUUAUUUAAUUAUUUUUAUCUAAUUAGAUUUAGAGAUAUAUUAAGAUUUAUU
Molecule: long non-coding RNA, 383 nt
Filed under: Ananas comosus (pineapple)
Lineage: Eukaryota; Viridiplantae; Streptophyta; Magnoliopsida; Poales; Bromeliaceae
Description: long non-coding RNA (ACOM_LNC014155)
Source: RNAcentral